AUUCAGAUCACCUGGGCAUCUUGUUCCAGGACAUGUUUAGAUUCAAUAGAUUUGGCAUAGGUUAUAAAAUUGUAUAUUUCUAACAAGCUUUCAGGUGAUGCUGAU
RNAcentral lists this microRNA precursor (105 nucleotides) under Marmota monax (woodchuck). Lineage: Eukaryota; Metazoa; Chordata; Mammalia; Rodentia; Sciuridae. The record is from RNAcentral.